This 301-nucleotide ribosomal RNA is filed under the name uncultured bacterium. Its description in RNAcentral is "partial 16S ribosomal RNA". It matches the Rfam family "Bacterial small subunit ribosomal RNA", at positions 509 to 809 of the family's 1533-position model. The record is from RNAcentral.
CAGCCGCCACGGUAAUACAGAGGGUGCGAGCGUUAAUCGGAUUUACUGGGCGUAAAGCGUGCGUAGGCGGCUUUUUAAGUCGGAUGUGAAAUCCCUGAGCUUAACUUAGGAAUUGCAUUCGAUACUGGGAAGCUAGAGUAUGGGAGAGGAUGGUAGAAUUCCAGGUGUAGCGGUGAAAUGCGUAGAGAUCUGGAGGAAUACCGAUGGCGAAGGCAGCCAUCUGGCCUAAUACUGACGCUGAGGUACGAAAGCAUGGGGAGCAAACAGGAUUAGAUACCCCGGUAGUCCCUGUCUCUUAUAA